RNAcentral lists this ribosomal RNA (432 nucleotides) under uncultured bacterium. Its description in RNAcentral is "bacterial SSU rRNA". It matches the Rfam family "Bacterial small subunit ribosomal RNA", at positions 96 to 524 of the family's 1533-position model. The record is from RNAcentral.
UGGCGGACGGGUGAGUAAUACUUAGGAAUCUGCCCAGUAGUGGGGGACAACCAGGAGAAAUCCUGGCUAAUACCGCAUACGCACUACGGUGGAAAGUGGGGGACCUUCGGGCCUCACGCUAUUGGAUGAGCCUAAGUCGGAUUAGCUUGUUGGUGAGGUAAAGGCUCACCAAGGCGACGAUCCGUAGCUGGUCUGAGAGGACGAUCAGCCACACUGGGACUGAGACACGGCCCAGACUCCUACGGGAGGCAGCAGUGGGGAAUAUUGGACAAUGGGCGCAAGCCUGAUCCAGCAAUGCCGCGUGUGUGAAGAAGGCCUGCGGGUUGUAAAGCACUUUCAGUAGAGAAGAAAAGCCUAGGGUUAAUACCCCUGAGUCUUGACGUAACCUACAGAAGAAGCACCGGCUAACUCCGUGCCAGCAGCCGCGGUAAU